RNAcentral lists this ribosomal RNA (1272 nucleotides) under metagenome. Its description in RNAcentral is "bacterial LSU rRNA". It matches the Rfam family "Bacterial large subunit ribosomal RNA", at positions 1638 to 2925 of the family's 2925-position model. The record is from RNAcentral.
AUGCCUGUACCAUAACCGACACAGGUGGGUAGGUAGAGUAUACUAAGGGGCGCGAGAUAACUCUCUCUAAGGAACUCGGCAAAAUGACUCCGUAACUUCGGGAGAAGGAGUGCCUUAUUUAUAAGGUUGCAAUAACAAGAUCCAAGCAACUGUUUAUCAAAAACACAGGUCUCCGCUAAGUCGUAAGACGAUGUAUGGGGGCUGACGCCUGCCCAGUGCCAGAAGGUUAAAGAAGUUGGUUAGUGUAUGCGAAGCUGAUGACUGAAGCCCUGGUGAACGGCGGCCGUAACAAUAACGGUCCUAAGGUAGCGAAAUUCCUUGUCGGGUAAGUUCCGACCCGCACGAAAGGCGUAAUGAUUUGGAUACUGUCUCGGAGAGAGGCUCGGUGAAAUAGACUUGUCUGUGAAGAUGCGGACUACCUGCACCAGGACAGAAAGACCCUAUGAAGCUUUACUGUAACUUGAAAUUGGAAUUGGACUUUGCUUGCGCAGUAUAGGUGGGAAGCGUUGAAGAUAUUCUUGCGGGAGUAUUGGAGCUAUCAGUGAGAUACCACUCUUGUAAUGUUAGAUUUCUAACUUUGAACCAUAAUCUGGUCAAAGAACAGUUUCAGGUGGGCAGUUUGACUGGGGCGGUCGCCUCCCAAAUGGUAACGGAGGCGUACAAAGGUUUCCUCUGAACGGAUAGAAAUCGUAUCUAGAGUGUAAAGGCAUAAGGAAGCUUGACUGUGAGACCUACAAGUCGAGCAGGGACGAAAGUCGGUCUUAGUGAUCUGACGGUACUGAGUGGAAAGGCCGUCACUCAACGGAUAAAAGUUACUCUAGGAUAACAGGCUGAUCUCCCCCAAGAGUUCACAUCGACGGGGAGGUUUGGCACCUCGAUGUCGGCUCAUCGCAUCCUGGGGCGGUAGUACGUCCCAAGGGUUGGGCUGUUCGCCCAUGAAAGCGGUACGCGAGCUGGGUUCAGAACGUCGUGAGACAGUUCGGUCCAUAUCCGGUGUAGGCGUUAGAAUAUUGUGAGGAGCCUUCUUUAGUACGAGAGGACCGAGAAGGACACACCGCUGGUGUACCAGUUAUCGUGCCAACGGUAAACGCUGGGUAGCUAUGUGUGGAGUGGAUAACCGCUGAAAGCAUCUAAGUGGGAAGCCCACCUCAAGAUGAUUGCUCUCACAGGGUUAACCUGGUAAGGUCACGGGAAGACCACCCGUUGAUAGGCACUCGGUGGAAGUCCAGCAAUGGAUGAAGCCAAGGUGUACUAACAGACCGAGGGCUUGAC